UUAAGGCCUAGGAGUGAUUCCAGCAGAACCACAGAAGCAAGGUGACAACUGAGAGACAGUGUUACCUAACAUUCAUUGAACUUCCAAAACAACAGGAGUGAUAAUAAUAGCGACAGUUCACUGAGUACACAGCAGGUGCCAGGUGCUGUGCUGGCAUCUCACACGUUAUCUCUAACACACCCACAACCUGCAGACGAGAACUCAGGCUCGCUCGGUGAGGGUCUCGGUUGCCAAGAGUCCUACAGCAGGAAAGGAGGAAGGGAU
RNAcentral lists this long non-coding RNA (264 nucleotides) under Rhinolophus ferrumequinum (greater horseshoe bat). RNAcentral describes it as "lncRNA (ENSRFEG00010004779.1)". Lineage: Eukaryota; Metazoa; Chordata; Mammalia; Chiroptera; Rhinolophidae. The record is from RNAcentral.